RNAcentral lists this ribosomal RNA (1051 nucleotides) under uncultured bacterium. Its description in RNAcentral is "bacterial SSU rRNA". It matches the Rfam family "Bacterial small subunit ribosomal RNA", at positions 57 to 1111 of the family's 1533-position model. The record is from RNAcentral.
GCAGUCGACGCUGAAAGCCUGGUGCUUGCACCGGGUGGAUGAGUGGCGAACGGGUGAGUAACACGUGAGUAACCUGCCCCUGACUUCGGGAUAAGCCCGGGAAACUGGGUCUAAUACCGGAUACGACUGCCGGACGCAUGUCUGGUGGUGGAAAGUUUUUUCGGUUGGGGAUGGGCUCGCGGCCUAUCAGUUUGUUGGUGAGGUAAUGGCUCACCAAGACGACGACGGGUAGCCGGCCUGAGAGGGCGACCGGCCACACUGGGACUGAGACACGGCCCAGACUCCUACGGGAGGCAGCAGUGGGGAAUAUUGCACAAUGGGGGAAACCCUGAUGCAGCGACGCAGCGUGCGGGAUGACGGCCUUCGGGUUGUAAACCGCUUUCAGCAGGGAAGAAGCGCAAGUGACGGUACCUGCAGAAGAAGUACCGGCUAACUACGUGCCAGCAGCCGCGGUAAUACGUAGGGUACGAGCGUUGUCCGGAAUUAUUGGGCGUAAAGAGCUCGUAGGUGGUUGGUCACGUCUGCUGUGGAAACGCAACGCUUAACGUUGCGCGUGCAGUGGGUACGGGCUGACUAGAGUGCAGUAGGGGAGUCUGGAAUUCCUGGUGUAGCGGUGAAAUGCGCAGAUAUCAGGAGGAACACCGGUGGCGAAGGCGGGACUCUGGGCUGUAACUGACACUGAGGAGCGAAAGCAUGGGGAGCGAACAGGAUUAGAUACCCUGGUAGUCCAUGCCGUAAACGUUGGGCACUAGGUGUGGGGGGCAUUCCACGUUCUCCGCGCCGUAGCUAACGCAUUAAGUGCCCCGCCUGGGGGAGUACGGUCGCAAGGCUAAAACUCAAAGGAAUUGACGGGGGCCCGCACAAGCGGCGGAGCAUGCGGAUUAAUUCGAUGCAACGCGAAGAACCUUACCAAGGCUUGACAUACACCGGACCGUCCUGGAAACAGGUCCUCUUCUUUGAAGCUGGUGUACAGGUGGGGGCAUGGUUGUCGUCAGCUCGUGUCCUGAGAAUGUUUGGGGUUAAGUCCCGCAACGAGCGCAACCCUCGUUCU